GAUGAACGCUGGCGGCGUGCCUAAUACAUGCAAGUCGAGCGAACGGACGAGGAGCUUGCUCCUCUGAUGUUAGCGGCGGACGGGUGAGUAACACGUGGAUAACCUACCUAUAAGACUGGGAUAACUUCGGGAAACCGGAGCUAAUACCGGAUAAUAUAUUGAACCGCAUGGUUCAAUAGUGAAAGACGGUUUUGCUGUCACUUAUAGAUGGAUCCGCGCUGCAUUAGCUAGUUGGUAAGGUAACGGCUUACCAAGGCAACGAUGCAUAGCCGACCUGAGAGGAUGAUCGGCAGCUCGGAUGCGAGGCUGCGGAGCCACCUCGGGCGGGAGACACGGUAGGGAAUCCUACGGGAGGGGGCAGAGGCGAACCGUGCGAACUCGGCGUAAGGAUGAAGGGGCUACGACUCGUAAAUGAUGAUGGUAGGGGAAUAGUAAAGUUCUAUGAACGGGGAAGAUAAUGACGGUACCCUAAGAAGAAGCCCCGGCUAACUUCGUG
RNAcentral lists this ribosomal RNA (496 nucleotides) under uncultured bacterium. RNAcentral describes it as "partial 16S ribosomal RNA". It matches the Rfam family "Bacterial small subunit ribosomal RNA", at positions 28 to 507 of the family's 1533-position model. The record is from RNAcentral.